This 77-nucleotide transfer RNA is filed under the name Sphaerochaeta sp. RNAcentral describes it as "tRNA-Arg". It matches the Rfam family "tRNA". Rfam says of the family: Transfer RNA (tRNA) molecules are approximately 80 nucleotides in length. Their secondary structure includes four short double-helical elements and three loops (D, anti-codon, and T loops). RNAcentral also lists the same sequence under 1 other name. The record is from RNAcentral. Lineage: Bacteria; Pseudomonadati; Spirochaetota; Spirochaetia; Spirochaetales; Sphaerochaetaceae.
GCUCCGAUAGCUCAGCUGGAUAGAGCACUUCCCUCCUAAGGAAGGGGUCACGCGUUCGAAUCGCGUUCGGGGUACCA